UACGUAGGGGGCAAGCGUUGUCCGGAAUCAUUGGGCGUAAAGCGCGUGUAGGCGGCUCGGCAAGUCUGGUGUGAAAACUUGAGGCUCAACCUCAAGCUGUCACUGGAGACUGCCGGGAUUGAGUCCGGAAGAGGAGAGUGGAAUUCCUGGUGUAGCGGUGGAAUGCGCAGAUAUGAGGAGGAACACCUAUGGCGAAGGCAGCUCUCUGGUACGUGACUGACGCUGAGGCGCGAAAGCGUGGGGAGCGAACAGG
This 253-nucleotide ribosomal RNA is filed under the name uncultured bacterium. RNAcentral's name for it is "partial 16S ribosomal RNA". It matches the Rfam family "Bacterial small subunit ribosomal RNA", at positions 524 to 776 of the family's 1533-position model. The record is from RNAcentral.